This 227-nucleotide ribosomal RNA is filed under the name Acinetobacter baumannii. RNAcentral describes it as "partial 23S ribosomal RNA". It matches the Rfam family "Bacterial large subunit ribosomal RNA", at positions 2722 to 2925 of the family's 2925-position model. Lineage: Bacteria; Pseudomonadati; Pseudomonadota; Gammaproteobacteria; Moraxellales; Moraxellaceae. The record is from RNAcentral.
UGUGACGCCAGUCGCAUCGCCGGGUAGCUAUGUUCGGAAGGGAUAACCGCUGAAAGCAUCUAAGCGGGAAGCCUACCUCAAGAUAAGAUUUCCCUAGGACUUUAUGUCCUCUAAAGAGCCGUUCGAGACUAGGACGUUGAUAGGUUGGAUGUGGAAGCAUAGUGAUAUGUGAAGCUGACCAAUACUAAUUGCUCGUGAGGCUUGACUAUACAACACCCAAGCAGUUG